RNAcentral lists this ribosomal RNA (465 nucleotides) under uncultured bacterium. Its description in RNAcentral is "partial 16S ribosomal RNA". It matches the Rfam family "Bacterial small subunit ribosomal RNA", at positions 338 to 795 of the family's 1533-position model. The record is from RNAcentral.
CCUACGGGUGGCAGCAGUAGGGAAUCUUCCACAAUGGGCGCAAGCCUGAUGGAGCAACGCCGCGUGGGUGAAGAAGGUCUUCGGAUCGUAAAACCCUGUUGUUAGAGAAGAAAGUGAGUGAGAGUAACUGUUUACGUUUCGACGGUAUCUAACCAGAAAGCCACGGCUAACUACGUGCCAGCAGCCGCGGUAAUACGUAGGUGGCAAGCGUUAUCCGGAAUUAUUGGGCGUAAAGGGCACGCAGGCGGUCUUUUAAGUCUGAUGUGAAAGCCAUCGGCUUAACCGGAGUAGGGCAUUGGAAACUGGGAGACUUGAGUGCAGGAGAGGAGGGUGGAACUCCAUGUGUAGCGGUAAAAUGCGUAGAUAUAUGGAUGAACACCAGUGGCGAAGGCGGCUGUCUGGUCUGUAGCUGACGCUGAGGUUCGAAAGCGUGGGGAGCAAACAGGAUUAGAUACCCUUGUAGUC